This 135-nucleotide ribosomal RNA is filed under the name uncultured bacterium. RNAcentral describes it as "partial 16S ribosomal RNA". It matches the Rfam family "Bacterial small subunit ribosomal RNA", at positions 355 to 507 of the family's 1533-position model. The record is from RNAcentral.
UGGGGAAUUGUUCGCAAUGGGCGCAAGCCUGAUCCAGCCAUGCCGCGUGAGUGAUGAAGGCCCUAGGGUUGUAAAGCUCUUUCACCGGAGAAGACAAUGACGGUAUCCGGAGAAGAAGCCCCGGCUAACUUCGUG